This 72-nucleotide transfer RNA is filed under the name Bigelowiella natans CCMP2755. Its description in RNAcentral is "tRNA-Phe for anticodon GAA". It matches the Rfam family "tRNA". Rfam says of the family: Transfer RNA (tRNA) molecules are approximately 80 nucleotides in length. Their secondary structure includes four short double-helical elements and three loops (D, anti-codon, and T loops). The record is from RNAcentral. Lineage: Eukaryota; Cercozoa; Chlorarachniophyceae.
UUUGUUAUAGUCUAAUGGUUAAGAUUAUUCUCUGAAAAAGAAUAGGUCUAGGUUCGAUUCCUAGUAACAACC